Molecule: ribosomal RNA, 441 nt
Filed under: uncultured bacterium
Lineage: Bacteria
Description: bacterial SSU rRNA
Rfam family: Bacterial small subunit ribosomal RNA
Source: RNAcentral
GUAACCUGCCCUAGAGUGGGGGACAACAGUUGGAAACGACUGCUAAUACCGCAUAAGCCCACGGUACCGCAUGGUACUGAGGGAAAAGGAUUUAUUCGCUUUAGGAUGGACUCGCGUCCAAUUAGCUAGUUGGUGAGGUAACGGCCCACCAAGGCGACGAUUGGUAGCCGGACUGAGAGGUUGAACGGCCACAUUGGGACUGAGACACGGCCCAGACUCCUACGGGAGGCAGCAGUGGGGGAUAUUGCACAAUGGGGGGAACCCUGAUGCAGCGACGCCGCGUGGAGGAAGAAGGUUUUCGGAUUGUAAACUCCUGUCGUUAGGGACGAUAAUGACGGUACCUAACAAGAAAGCACCGGCUAACUACGUGCCAGCAGCCGCGGUAAAACGUAGGGUGCAAGCGUUGUCCGGAAUUACUGGGUGUAAAGGGAGCGCAGGCGG